AACGAACGCUGGCGGCAGGCCUAACACAUGCAAGUCGAGGGGGAAGCCACUUUCGGGUGGUGGAGACCGGCGCACGGGUGAGUAACGCGUGGGCACCUGCCCUGGGGUGGGGGAUAACCGCUGGAAACGGCGGCUAAUACCGCAUACGCCCUAUUUUCGUAGAGGAGAUGGGGGAAAGAUUUAUUGCCCUGGGAUGGGCCCGCGUUGGAUUAGCUUGUUGGUGGGUAAAGGCCUACCAAGGCGACGAUCCAUAGCUGGUCUGAGAGGAUGAUCAGCCACACUGGGACUGAGACACGGCCCAGACUCCUACGGGAGGCAGCAGUGGGGAAUAUUGGACAAUGGGGGCAACCCUGAUCCAGCCAUGCCGCGUGCGUGAAGAAGGCCUUAGGGUUGUAAAGCGCUUUCACCGGUGACGAUGAUGACGGUAGCCGGAGAAGAAGCCCCGGCUAACUCCGUG
RNAcentral lists this ribosomal RNA (457 nucleotides) under uncultured bacterium. RNAcentral describes it as "bacterial SSU rRNA". It matches the Rfam family "Bacterial small subunit ribosomal RNA", at positions 28 to 507 of the family's 1533-position model. The record is from RNAcentral.